GAGCGGGCGUAGCAAUACGUCAGCGGCAGACGGGUGAGUAACGCCGUGGGAACGUACCUUUUGGUUCGGAACAACACAGGGAAACUUGUGCUAAUACCGGAUAAGCCCUUACGGGGAAAGAUUUAUCGCCGAAAGAUCGGCCCGCGUCUGAUUAGCUAGUUGGUGAGGUAACGGCUCACCAAGGCGACGAUCAGUAGCUGGUCUGAGGGGAUGAUCAGCCACAUUGGGACUGAGACACGGCCCAAACUCCUACGGGAGGCAGCAGUGGGGAAUAUUGGACAAUGGGCGCAAGCCUGAUCCAGCCAUGCCGCGUGAGUGAUGAAGGCCCUAGGGUUGUAAAGCUCUUUUGUGCGGGAAGAUAAUGACGGUACCGCAAGAAUAAGCCCCGGCUAACUUCGUGCCAGCAGCCGCGGUAAUACGAAGGGGGCUAGCGUUGCUCGGAAUCACUGGGCGUAAAGGGUGCGUAGGCGGGUCUUUAAGUCAGGGGUGAAAUCCUGGAGCUCAACUCCAGAACUGCCUUUGAUACUGAAGAUCUUGAGUUCGGGAGAGGUGAGUGGAACUGCGAGUGUAGAGGUGAAAUUCGUAGAUAUUCGCAAGAACACCAGUGGCGAAGGCGGCUCAC
This 622-nucleotide ribosomal RNA is filed under the name uncultured Alphaproteobacteria bacterium. Its description in RNAcentral is "bacterial SSU rRNA". It matches the Rfam family "Bacterial small subunit ribosomal RNA", at positions 64 to 729 of the family's 1533-position model. Lineage: Bacteria; Pseudomonadati; Pseudomonadota; Alphaproteobacteria. The record is from RNAcentral.